CAAGUCGAGCGGAACGAGUUAACUGAACCUUCGGGGAACGUUAACGGCGUCGAGCGGCGGACGGGUGAGUAAUGCCUGGGAAAUUGCCCUGAUGUGGGGGAUAACCAUUGGAAACGAUGGCUAAUACCGCAUAAUAGCUUCGGCUCAAAGAGGGGGACCUUCGGGCCUCUCGCGUCAGGAUAUGCCCAGGUGGGAUUAGCUAGUUGGUGAGGUAAGGGCUCACCAAGGCGACGAUCCCUAGCUGGUCUGAGAGGAUGAUCAGCCACACUGGAACUGAGACACGGUCCAGACUCCUACGGGAGGCAGCAGUGGGGAAUAUUGCACAAUGGGCGCAAGCCUGAUGCAGCCAUGCCGCGUGUAUGAAGAAGGCCUUCGGGUUGUAAAGUACUUUCAGCAGUGAGGAAGGGGUGUGCGUUAAUAGCGUACAUCUUUGACGUUAGCUGCAGAAGAAGCACCGGCUAACUCCGUGCCAGC
RNAcentral lists this ribosomal RNA (474 nucleotides) under bacterium 1611-S6-01-1.1. Its description in RNAcentral is "bacterial SSU rRNA". It matches the Rfam family "Bacterial small subunit ribosomal RNA", at positions 58 to 512 of the family's 1533-position model. The record is from RNAcentral.